UACGAAGGGACCUAGCGUAGUUCGGAAUUACUGGGCUUAAAGAGUUCGUAGGUGGUUGAAAAAGUUAGUGGUGAAAUCCCAGAGCUUAACUCUGGAACUGCCAUUAAAACUUUUCAGCUAGAGUAUGAUAGAGGAAAGCAGAAUUUCUAGUGUAGAGGUGAAAUUCGUAGAUAUUAGAAAGAAUACCAACUGCGAAGGCAGCUUUCUGGAUCAUUACUGACACUGAGGAACGAAAGCAUGGGUAGCGAAGAGG
This 253-nucleotide ribosomal RNA is filed under the name uncultured Pelagibacterales bacterium. RNAcentral describes it as "partial 16S ribosomal RNA". It matches the Rfam family "Bacterial small subunit ribosomal RNA", at positions 524 to 776 of the family's 1533-position model. The record is from RNAcentral. Lineage: Bacteria; Pseudomonadati; Pseudomonadota; Alphaproteobacteria; Candidatus Pelagibacterales.